Long non-coding RNA from Triticum aestivum (bread wheat), 5834 nucleotides. RefSeq lists it as uncharacterized. The record is from RefSeq and is a predicted model, not a curated record. The transcript has 3 exons. Lineage: Eukaryota; Viridiplantae; Streptophyta; Magnoliopsida; Poales; Poaceae.
CUGAGUACUGUCUCGCGAAUCGAACCACAACAAAAAUCCCCAUUCCACCUCCACCUUCUACCGGAGCACUACCCGAGGCCGCCGCCGCGCCACCCCGUCCCUGUCCACCUACCGGCGCCGCUGCCGGAUCACCACCCAAGGCCGCUGCCUCGCCGCCCGGCACCCAUCCACCUCCUACUAGCCCCGCCUCCGGUGUACCAUCCCAGGCCGCCGCGAGCACGCCCCGACCCCAUCCACCUUCUACCGGCGCCGUUGCCGCGUUGCCCCGUCCACCUUCUCCCGCAGCCGCGCCACACCUUCCGGCCACCGCAUCCCAGCGCCACCAGAUCGGGCCUCCUCACACCCCUGGACUCCAGAUCGGGCUUGCCCCGUGCUCGUUGCCCCAAGCUUCUUUGCCCCCGCCCCAAGCUUCUCCGCCGCCGGCCUCCGUCGUACCCUCACCCCCACCCCCACCCCGGACUAGCAGUGCCACCACCUCACUCCUCUCUGCCUCCCACACUGGAUUGCAUCCCCACCGCCAGAAAGAGGAUUGCAUCCCCUUCCCCGCCAUUGAUGGCGAGGUCAAUGGUCGAGGCCGUGGCCACACAUGGGGCGGCAAAUAGUGAGCACCCGCACCUCACAUUGCGUCCCCGGCCGCUGGAUCCGUCGCACAAUGCGAUCGAGGGAGCGCAUGGGUGCUCCGCCGCCAGCGAGAUUCCACCCGAUGCCCUGCAGUUCGGUCCAUGUGUGCGCCACAGCCCUCCAUCGGGCGCGCGUGCAAUCCGGCAUGCAUGUAGUGAGCAUGAGGAUCCCGUCAUAGACAUCCACAGUUGGCGCAACACAACUCUGAAUGGCAAAAACCUCAACCUAACAUCUGCAGGUGAUUUCCUCACGUUGACCAAACUUGGGAGAGAUGAUACCUUAAUGCUCCAAUUUCCCAUUAACUUGAGAAUCGAGGCAAUCAAAGGCUGAGCGAUGGUGGUGGCCGAGUGAUGGUGAUGGUGACGGCAUGGAGGCUGCUGCUGUGUUCUAUGGUAUGAAUCCCUCUCCUCCUUGACCUCUGCUUGGUUGCUGCUGCACCAAGAUCCUCUGCUUGUGGGUGUCAUGGUCGUGCAGCUCGGAGAAGCUCGCCAUGCGGUUCAGGGCUCAUACGCGUGCAGUCCAGCGAGCGCCAUGUCUUCCCCUCUGGUCGGUCGACCAUGGCCGUGCAGCUCGGAGAUGCUCGCCAUGCGGUUCGGAGCUCGUGCGCAUGCAGUCCGGCAAGUGCCAUCUCUUCCCCUACAGUCCGUCGACCAUGCCAUGCAACUCAGAGACACUUGCAAUGAGGUUCAGAGCUCGUGCGUGUGUAAUCUGGCUAGUGUCCGUGCAUGUGCAGUCCAGCGAGCAUCCGUGCACAACAGCGCCUCUGCCACAACAUUCAGUAGUGGAUUCCCUAGUUUGGAAAAUGCUAACUUUUGGAUUCUAAGACGAAUUAGGUCCCUUAAUUAUGAUGAUAUGUUGCUAGACCAAUUAGUGUCCAUGCACAGCAGCUUCUAAGACCAAUUUUGAAUUAACUUUUGGAAAAUGGUAAAUUUUGGAUUCUAAGGCAAUUAGUGUCUGUGCAUAUUGCUAGACCAAUUACGUCCCUUAGUCCAAAAGUUUUGGAUUCCGUGUCUGUUGUUCUCUUGUUCAAUUUACCUUCUAAGACUACAUGUGUCCGUGCAUGGAUUAACUUUUGGAUUCUAACACUAAUUGGUCCGUGCACAACAGCUUCUAACAUUUUUCCUUCUUGUGAUGUUGCGCUAGCACUAUGUAUCCCGGGACCAUAUGUUCAAUACUCUCUAGUCUUUUACUAGCAUAUAGGCGCGGCGUGCCUUGUUAUAGUUAAUAGUGUAUACUAUAGUUUAUAUUUGAAAAAAAAAUUAUCUUUUUAUUUAUUAGUCUUCACUUAGGGUGAAAUUUAAUUUAGUUGGUAAUAAUCUGUCUUAAGUGGUCUAAUAUAGGUGUGCACGCAAUACUAUGUUAAAAUCAUGUAUGCGCCAUGUUGCUUUGGUUGGUUAUUACUUAUUCAUUUAAUUUUUUGCAUGUUUAUUAAGUAACAUAAAUUUUGAAUGAUUUUUUUAUGAACAUAAAGGCAUUGUGGAUGCUAAGGUGCUUUAAAAAGGGAAAGUUUUAUUGCAUUAAGUAAUCCAUACAGAUACAUAUCACACAAGGGAAGUACUUUUUUAUGUCGCAUGCUAAAUUUGAGUUUGGUGGAUCUCGGUGAACCAUCUAUGUAGUAUAUAAAUUUUUAUGUACAAUUUUUUUUCCUAUUUUAGUUAUUUGGGUUGUGGCCGCACUUCGCUGGUGCAUUCGUGUGUCAGUUUUUCUAUUUUGUGUGAACUUCUAUUUGUCGCCGUUCAUGUUCAAAACCUGGUACCAGAUCUUCAUGUCUUGUCACAAAUUAUAAAAGGUAAAGGUCCACUAAAAAAGGUAAAGGUGUAUAUUUUCCUUUUGAAAUCUCCUAAAAAAACUAAAAAAAAACAGUUUUUCCAUGAACUGGAUGCCCAAGUGCUGAUACACGAUGUGUGGCUGUAGCAUUUUCUUCUGCAGUUUGUUUUGUCAAACUACGUUUCAUUGCUUUCGUUUUGCCGCUGGUGGGUGCAUGCUUUAAUUGGGCGUAAAUUUCAAAGUGAUGUGACUACGUGCCUGUGCAUGGGGUUGGGAGGCAAGGUGGCUACGUGAAUGAGUGAGUUUUGCAUGGGGAUAGCCACAUGGUUAUAACAUCAACGGUUUUUUUUCCUUUCCAUGCAUACUGGUCAAUAGAUCAUGUGGUUUAAGCGUACACGCACUUUUGGUUUCUUUCAUUUUCGUUUGCAUACGUAGCUAUGUAGCUGCCGGGCUCGAUGUUGUACUCCCUCCGUUCCUAAAUAUUAUCUUCAUGUUGGACUAUUUUUUCUACAAACAGAUACAUGGUUUCACAACAGCUCAUCUAGAAGAUCAAUAAACUUAAAUGAUUUACGCUCUGUACGACAGUGAUGACACGUGAGAUCAAUAAACAAAAGCUCAUGGUGGCGAGUAGUAGUACGUAGAGAUGGAGUAGUACGUAACAUGGCAUGAUGAAACACUGAUCGGGUAAAUUCCAGAGAGCAGAGGAGAAGAGAGCCGCGCCUAGUUGUCUCAAUAUGUUAUCCAUCACAGCGAAUGAGGGAAUAAUUAGCACAUUGACCAUGAUGGGAGCGGAGGAACUAAUUAAUCCACAUGCAACCCCCUAUACAGAACAUCAUGUGAAAUCAUAUGCAGUGCCCUAAGCUGUAGCCUAUGGAUUGCACGUUGCAGCCUGAUCAACUGAACAUGACAUGCAGUUAAUUUGCAACUCAACGUUAUGAAUUAUUAAUUAGUUAUGUGAGCCCAGUAUCUCAGCGUACCUGUGGUGUCACACACGAAUGACCACACCACAUAGACCUGACAUGGUACUCUCAAAAGAAGCUUCUUGCUGAAGAUGGUGUCAUUAUGAUAAAUACUUCAGAUUGAUUUGCUGGUGUUCCCCUGCCUGAAAACGAAAUAUAUGCAAAACGAAACAGUGAUCAAUUAAUUUCAGAAAGCAAAGGAGAGGAGAGCAGCACUUGAGAUCGAGGCCUCUCGUAGUGCCAGCAGCGGAGCACCUUGCCUGUGUCAGCGCAGUCGCUGGCCUCCUCGAGGGCCUUGCGCUGGACCGCGUUGUCCAUGGACUCGUCAGGCGCAACUGGCCCUUGGGGAACACCAUGUCGUGCCCUUCCUGUGAACUGACCACCAACACGUCUCGCUCGCCGUCGCUGACGCCUUCGUCGCACACCCAUAAGUGAUGCAGCCCACCACCAUUCGCCCGCCAAUGCGCGGGCCUCUUCCUCGCCGCAAGAAGGAUCAACCGUGGAAUCUUUAGCUAGCUAGCUAGAUGCUGGUUUCGUUGAAAAAAGUAUAUGAGACAUGGUGGAUGCUGGAGUAGCAGAUGUAGGUUUGCUACCAUGGAUCUGGGGAUCCGCGGGUCACUGCUCACGGCCAAGAGCGCGAGCUCAGCUGUAAGCAGCUAGCCACACCGCGCGCCGGCAGGACCUCGCCGAACACCGGCAUCACCACUGGCUGGAGGCCUCCCGUAGCCGUAGCCGUCGUGCCGUGCUGGUGUCGUACCUCCUGUCCUGUGUCGGAUCAACAGAAGAGAAAACACACUCAAGAGAAAGAAGGGGACAGGGCCUCACGGACAAAGUCCACCUUGACAGAAUUUGAGCGCCGCUCAUGGGACGAUCUUGCUAGCGUGCAGAAGGCCACCGCGAUACAACGGCCGAUCAUCAGAUGCCGGAGCAUGCUCCAUACAUACGGGCCGAGCCGACAAAACGGCUGACGCAGCAGAACGGCCCAAACCACCACGCUGGUGGCAUCGGCGUGCUUCGCUGCCCUCCACCACACUCCCAGUUGCCACCAUGCCACCGACGAUGGCGCGAAGCAGCACCUAGCGACGACCUUACUCGAUGGAGUAGCCAGAACGGCGCAGCCGCCUCCUCCGUGGUGGCUGCCGGUGGCAACGGCGGUGCUCAUGAGCAGCAGCGGGGGCGCCGAGGACCAUUAUGACCGGAGAAGGAGCAACCAUAGAAUCAACCAGCAUCUCUGGCCCUCUCCCGGCGAGCUCGGCGGACUUAAGAACGUGGACACGUUGGCCAUCUACACGACGCUGCUCUCCGGCCUGAUCGUGCUGAAGCUCGCCGAGUCCUUGAGUUGCAGCAGGCCGUAGCUGCCCUAAACGACGACGCAGCCGCCUACCACCGGUUCAUUACGGCUAGAUGAAGAAGAAACCAUCGAGCAACAAUGAAACCACACGCCAUGACACAAGGAGAGGGACAGCCUAUUUAUAGCCCCGCAGCUCACAGGAAGCCUUCCGAAAACACAAGAAAUUCAGCACCGAUGGAAAACAGCGGCAAGCUCUAGAACGAACGACACGCAGGCAAGGAAAUCUCAAGAGGACACGGGAAAAGCGCCACCGAUUGGAAGAAACAUGCAAACCCAACAGCGGCCAAACUGACAGCAACAUCAACAACCAGAAGAAGCGAUCGAGACGACGCCGCCGUGGACUGAACGCAAGCACAGGAAGAAACGCUAAACAUAAACUAAAUCUACCUAAAUAAGUCGUAUGGCAGUUCAAAAAAUUUGAAACGGCAAACCAAAGUCACAGCGCAUUCGUACCCAACCAGGUACCAAACAAAUACACGUGCCCCAUCCAAAUUUACCCGAACAUCAUUUUCAUCCAAGUGGCUGAUUCUUGGAGCAAAAAACUUGCCUGGAAUAGAGGCUUGGUUAUUUUUAGUAAAAGAUGGAACAUGGUCGUGGGCAUUUGCUCAUUCUUUUUUCUUAUCCCUUGCACAUUUUGUUGAAGUGCACCAAGAUCCUCUGCAUGCACCAAACGACUGACAUGCAGGCCAUUGAUUGUGUUCUUUAAAAAAAUUCAAACUGCACUGCCGUCCAUUGUUCUCUUGCUAUUCAGUUUACCCUUUUUUUCAGGUGAAAGACGAACAUCAAAGUACAGAAAAACGUGCACUGCAGUCUCUUGCGGCUUUAGUUUACCAUUCUUCGAGUGAAAAAUGCGCAACAUCGGCUGGCCCUCAAAUGGAGUUCUGCUGGCUAGUAGUGCUGAUUUUGUGUGUAUGUAUGUGAGUGGCUGUAAAACAAUGAAUGGAUGUAUGUGUCUAUGAGCAUCAUCGGCGUCCAUAGACAAAGGCGCAAAACAAAAUGUGCGCCUGCAGUUUGCUUAGCUCGGUCAUGCAGUACAUUGUUUUUGUUUUGUGCGGUCCGUUUGUUUGUUAAAAGAAAUCAAAGAAUGUUGGUUGGAGGUAACAUUCUUUUGAUGCAAAAUGUAAUUUUUAAAUGCA